AUAGCAUAUCAAUAAGCGGAGAAAAGAACCACCGGGAUUGCCCUAGUAACGGCGAGUGAAGCGGCAAGAGCUCAAAUUUGAAAGCUGGCCCCCUCGGGGUCCGCAUUGUAAUUUGCAGAGGAUGCUUCGGGAGCGGUCCCCAUCUAAGUGCCCUGGAACGGGCCGUCAUAGAGGGUGAGAAUCCCGUAUGGGAUGGGGUGCCCGCGCCCGUGUGAAGCUCCUUCGACGAGUCGAGUUGUUUGGGAAUGCAGCUCUAAUUGGGUGGUAAAUUUCAUCUAAAGCUAAAUAUUGGCCGGAGACCGAUAGCGCACAAGUAGAGUGAUCGAAAGAUGAAAAGCACUUUGAAAAGAGAGUUAAACAGCACGUGAAAUUGUUGAAAGGGAAGCGCUUGCGAUCAGACUCGCCCACGGGGUUCAGCCGGCAUUCGUGCCGGUGUACUUCCCCGCGGGCGGGCCAGCGUCGGUUUGGGCGGUCGGUCAAAGGCCCCUGGAAUGUAACGCCUCUCGGGGCGUCUUAUAGCCAGGGGUGCCAUGCGACCUGCCCGGACCGAGGAACGCGCUUCGGCUCGGACGCUGGCAUAAUGGUCGUAAGCGACCCGUCUUGAAACACGGACCAAGGAGUCUAACAUCUACGCGAGUGUUCGGGUGUCAAACCCGUGCGCGCAGUGAAAGCGAACGGAGGUGGGAACCCUCACGGGUGCACCAUCGACCGAUCCUGAUGUCUUUGGAUGGAUUUGAGUAAGAGCGUAGCUGUUGGGACCCGAAAGAUGGUGAACUAUGCCUGAAUAGGGCGAAGCCAGAGGAAACUCUGGUGGAGGCUCGCAGCGGUUCUGACGUGCAAAUCGAUCGUCAAAUUUGGGUAUAGGGGCGAAAGACUAAUCGAACCAUCUAGUAGCUGGUUCCUGCCGA
RNAcentral lists this ribosomal RNA (908 nucleotides) under Penicillium sp. DV-2018p. RNAcentral describes it as "LSU rRNA". It matches the Rfam family "Eukaryotic large subunit ribosomal RNA", at positions 35 to 964 of the family's 3401-position model. Lineage: Eukaryota; Fungi; Ascomycota; Eurotiomycetes; Eurotiales; Aspergillaceae. The record is from RNAcentral.